RNAcentral lists this ribosomal RNA (322 nucleotides) under Thermomonospora echinospora. Its description in RNAcentral is "bacterial SSU rRNA". It matches the Rfam family "Bacterial small subunit ribosomal RNA", at positions 1 to 323 of the family's 1533-position model. Lineage: Bacteria; Bacillati; Actinomycetota; Actinomycetes; Streptosporangiales; Thermomonosporaceae. The record is from RNAcentral.
CCUUGAUGGAGAGUUUGAUCCUGGCUCAGGACGAACGCUGGCGGCGUGCUUAACACAUGCAAGUCGAGCGGAAAGGCCCCUUCGGGGGUACUCGAGCGGCGAACGGGUGAGUAACACGUGAGCAACCUGCCCCUGACUUCGGGAUAAGCCUGGGAAACCGGGUCUAAUACCGGAUAUGACCUCUUACCGCAUGGUGGGGGGUGGAAAGUUUUUUCGGUUGGGGAUGGGCUCGCGGCCUAUCAGCUUGUUGGUGGGGUGAUGGCCUACCAAGGCGACGACGGGUAGCCGGCCUGAGAGGGCGACCGGCCACACUGGGACUGAG